This 606-nucleotide ribosomal RNA is filed under the name uncultured archaeon. Its description in RNAcentral is "bacterial SSU rRNA". It matches the Rfam family "Archaeal small subunit ribosomal RNA", at positions 315 to 922 of the family's 1478-position model. The record is from RNAcentral.
UCCAGGCCCUACGGGGCGCAGCAGGCGCGAAACCUCCGCAAUGCGGGCAACCGCGACGGGGGGACCCCCAGUGCCGUGGCACAGCCACGGCUUUUCCGGAGUGUAAAAAGCUCCGGGAAUAAGGGCUGGGCAAGGCCGGUGGCAGCCGCCGCGGUAAUACCGGCGGCCCGAGUGGUGGUCGCUAUUAUUGGGCCUAAAGCGUCCGUAGCCGGGCCCGUAAGUCCCUGGCGAAAUCCCACGGCUCAACCGUGGGGCUUGCUGGGGAUACUGCGGGCCUUGGGACCGGGAGAGGCCGGGGGUACCCCUGGGGUAGGGGUGAAAUCCUAUAAUCCCAGGGGGACCGCCAGUGGCGAAGGCGCCCGGCUGGAACGGGUCCGACGGUGAGGGACGAAGGCCAGGGGAGCAAACCGGAUUAGAUACCCGGGUAGUCCUGGCUGUAAAGGAUGCGGGCUAGGUGUCGGGCGAGCUUCGAGCUCGCCCGGUGCCGAAGGGAAGCCGUUAAGCCCGCCGCCUGGGGAGUACGGCCGCAAGGCUGAAACUUAAAGGAAUUGGCGGGGGAGCACUACAAGGGGUGGAGCGUGCGGUUUAAUUGGAUUCAACGCCGGG